Molecule: ribosomal RNA, 301 nt
Filed under: uncultured bacterium
Lineage: Bacteria
Description: partial 16S ribosomal RNA
Rfam family: Bacterial small subunit ribosomal RNA
Source: RNAcentral
CAGCAGCCGCGGUAAUACGGAGGGUGCAAGCGUUAAUCGGAAUUACUGGGCGUAAAGCGUGCGUAGGCGGUUCGUUAAGUCUGUUGUGAAAGCCCCGGGCUCAACCUGGGAAUGGCAAUGGAUACUGGCGAGCUAGAGUGUGUCAGAGGAUGGUGGAAUUCCCGGUGUAGCGGUGAAAUGCGUAGAGAUCGGGAGGAACACCAACGGCGAAAGCACUCUGCUGGGCCGACACUGACACUGAGAGACGAAAGCUAGGGGAGCAAAUGGGAUUAGAUACCCGCGUAGUCCCUGUCUCUUAUAC